UGGGGAAUAUUGGGCAAUGGGCGCAAGCCUGACCCAGCAACGCCGCGUGAGGGAAGAAUGUCUUCGGAUUGUAAACCUCUGUCCUUGGGGACGAAAAAAAUGACGGUACCCAAGGAGGAAGCUCCGGCUAACUACGUGCCAGCAGCCGCGGUAAUACGUAGGGAGCAAGCGUUGUCCGGAAUUACUGGGCGUAAAGGGUGCGUAGGCGGCAUGGCAAGUCAGAUGUGAAAUCCCCGGGCUUAACUCGGGUGGUGCAUUUGAAACUGCCAAGCUUGAGUGCAGGAGAGGAAAGCGGAAUUCCUAGUGUAGCGGUGAAAUGCGUAGAUAUUAGGAGGAACACCAGUGGCGAAGGCGGCUUUCUGGACUGUAACUGACGCUGAGGCACGAAAGCGUGGGGAGCAAACA
This 405-nucleotide ribosomal RNA is filed under the name uncultured prokaryote. RNAcentral's name for it is "bacterial SSU rRNA". It matches the Rfam family "Bacterial small subunit ribosomal RNA", at positions 355 to 774 of the family's 1533-position model. The record is from RNAcentral.